ACAAUGAAGAGUUUGAUCCUGGCUCAGGAUGAACGCUAGCUACAGGCUUAACACAUGCAAGUCGAGGGGCAUCAGGAAGAAAGCUUGCUUUCUUUGCUGGCGACCGGCGCACGGGUGAGUAACACGUAUCCAACCUGCCCUUUACUCGGGGAUAGCCUUUCGAAAGAAAGAUUAAUACCCGAUAGCAUAAUGAUUCCGCAUGGUUUCAUUAUUAAAGGAUUCCGGUAAAGGAUGGGGAUGCGUUCCAUUAGGUUGUUGGUGAGGUAACGGCUCACCAAGUCUUCGAUGGAUAGGGGUUCUGAGAGGAAGGUCCCCCACAUUGGAACUGAGACACGGUCCAAACUCCUACGGGAGGCAGCAGUGAGGAAUAUUGGUCAAUGGGCGCUAGCCUGAACCAGCCAAGUAGCGUGAAGGAUGAAGGCUCUAUGGGUCGUAAACUUCUUUUAUAUAAGAAUAAAGUGCAGUAUGUAUACUGUUUUGUAUGUAUUAUAUGAAUAAGGAUCGGCUAACUCCGUGCCAGCAGCCGCGGUAAUACGGAGGAUCCGAGCGUUAUCCGGAUUUAUUGGGUUUAAAGGGAGCGUAGGUGGACUGGUAAGUCAGUUGUGAAAGUUUGCGGCUCAACCGUAAAAUUGCAGUUGAUACUGUCAGUCUUGAGUACAGUAGAGGUGGGCGGAAUUCGUGGUGUAGCGGUGAAAUGCUUAGAUAUCACGAAGAACUCCGAUUGCGAAGGCAGCUCACUGGACUGCAACUGACACUGAUGCUCGAAAGUGUGGGUAUCAAACAGGAUUAGAUACCCUGGUAGUCCACACAGUAAACGAUGAAUACUCGCUGUUUGCGAUAUACAGUAAGCGGCCAAGCGAAAGCAUUAAGUAUUCCACCUGGGGAGUACGCCGGCAACGGUGAAACUCAAAGGAAUUGACGGGGGCCCGCACAAGCGGAGGAACAUGUGGUUUAAUUCGAUGAUACGCGAGGAACCUUACCCGGGCUUAAAUUGCAGUGGAAUGAUGUGGAAACAUGUCAGUGAGCAAUCACCGCUGUGAAGGUGCUGCAUGGUUGUCGUCAGCUCGUGCCGUGAGGUGUCGGCUUAAGUGCCAUAACGAGCGCAACCCUUAUCUUUAGUUACUAACAGGUUAUGCUGAGGACUCUAGAGAGACUGCCGUCGUAAGAUGUGAGGAAGGUGGGGAUGACGUCAAAUCAGCACGGCCCUUACGUCCGGGGCUACACACGUGUUACAAUGGGGGGUACAGAAGGCAGCUAGCGGGUGACCGUAUGCUAAUCCCAAAAGCCUCUCUCAGUUCGGAUCGAAGUCUGCAACCCGACUUCGUGAAGCUGGAUUCGCUAGUAAUCGCGCAUCAGCCACGGCGCGGUGAAUACGUUCCCGGGCCUUGUACACACCGCCCGUCAAGCCAUGGGAGCCGGGGGUACCUGAAGUACGUAACCGCAAGGAUCGUCCUAGGGUAAAACUGGUGACUGGGGCUAAGUCGUAACAAGGUAGCCGUACCGGAAGGUGCGGCUGGAACACCUCCUUU
RNAcentral lists this ribosomal RNA (1529 nucleotides) under Bacteroides fragilis. Its description in RNAcentral is "bacterial SSU rRNA". It matches the Rfam family "Bacterial small subunit ribosomal RNA". The record is from RNAcentral. Lineage: Bacteria; Pseudomonadati; Bacteroidota; Bacteroidia; Bacteroidales; Bacteroidaceae.